This is a small nuclear RNA of Dromiciops gliroides (monito del monte), 104 nucleotides long. The record is from RefSeq and is a predicted model, not a curated record. Lineage: Eukaryota; Metazoa; Chordata; Mammalia; Microbiotheria; Microbiotheriidae.
UCGCUUCUGCAGCAAAUAUACUAAAACUGGAAUGAUACAGAGUAGAUUAGCAUGGCCCCUGUGCAAGGAUGACACGCAAAAUUUAUGAAGCAUUACGUAUUGUU